This is a non-coding RNA of Zootermopsis nevadensis, 73 nucleotides long. The record is from Rfam. Lineage: Eukaryota; Metazoa; Arthropoda; Insecta; Blattodea; Termopsidae.
AACACGGUGGUCUAGCGGUUAGAACGCUGGCCUUGUAAUCCUGGGGUCUCGGGUUCGAUUCCCGGCGGUGCCC